UACGUAGGGUCCGAGCGUUGUCCGGAAUUAUUGGGCGUAAAGAGCUCGUAGGCGGUUUGUCGCGUCUGCUGUGAAAUCCCGAGGCUCAACCUCGGGCCUGCAGUGGGUACGGGCAGACUGGAGUGCGGUAGGGGAGAAUGGAAUUCCUGGUGUAGCGGUGAAAUGCGCAGAUAUCAGGAGGAACACCGGUGGCGAAGGCGGUUCUCUGGGCAUUACCUGACGCUGAGGAGCGAAAGUGUGGGGAGCGAACAGG
RNAcentral lists this ribosomal RNA (253 nucleotides) under uncultured bacterium. RNAcentral describes it as "partial 16S ribosomal RNA". It matches the Rfam family "Bacterial small subunit ribosomal RNA", at positions 524 to 776 of the family's 1533-position model. The record is from RNAcentral.